GGAGGGGCCUGUGGAGGGCAGCCAAAGCCCAGGCUCAUGCCUGUGAGGGAGUGAGGGCAGGCAACAGAGUUGGAGAAACUUCCUUCAGUUGUCUUUCAAAAGAAAGUCCUCUGAACCUGAGCAGAGCUUUGGCUUCCUGACUACAACAGCAAAAUCUUCCAUGGAUCCUCAUACAAGUUAUACGUGUGAGGAAAACAUUCUGUGUUUCAGGUCUGCUUCAAAGCGAGCGAGGUCUGUGUCCAGCCGCCGGAUGUGCUUAUCAACCUGGAAAGACAACAGUGACCAGGAGUCACCACAGGACAGAGCCCAGGAGGGCAAAGAAGAGGGGGCUUGCACUAAAGAGCCGAGAAGCAAAGAGCGGGCAGGGCCUAAAAAUGAGAGAUCAAGGCCUUUCAAGACUGGGGGCUUUAGUUUGGACUUUCACCCGAUAAGCACUAGACACUUCCCUUCAUACCAUCUCGUAGGUCUGCAUAGCCAGCUGAACCUUGUCGUCCCCAAACUCCUUGCACUUCCCAUAGGC
Corapipo altera (White-ruffed manakin) is the source of this 520-nucleotide long non-coding RNA. RefSeq lists it as uncharacterized. Lineage: Eukaryota; Metazoa; Chordata; Aves; Passeriformes; Pipridae. The record is from RefSeq and is a predicted model, not a curated record. The transcript has 4 exons.